RNA transcript from Cynara cardunculus var. scolymus (artichoke), 3716 nucleotides. It is a transcript of the gene named pentatricopeptide repeat-containing protein At5g02860, with no coding region annotated. The transcript is spliced from 7 exons. Lineage: Eukaryota; Viridiplantae; Streptophyta; Magnoliopsida; Asterales; Asteraceae. The record is from RefSeq and is a predicted model, not a curated record.
GUUUCCUGCCCCUAGUCGCCGCUCCCUGCUCGCCCUUGGCUGCCCUGGCGCUUCUCACCGGCCCAACCCGCAGAGGUACAAUAUUUAUCGUUAUUAUUUUGCAACAAACUAUGACCCUAGACAACCGGCCCCCUUCUAUCCUAAAUUCCUAGCUCCGCCCCUGCACCUCCUGCUCAUCAAUGGCUGAUAAGCUAGCUCUUCCUCUUCUCAUCCCAAGUCCUCCACACACUAAACCCUUUUUCUCUCAAGACUUCCACAAUAAAAAAACCCACCACCAGCGACCACAGCCAUUAACCCCCCUUCUAAAUGACCUUCUGCAACCAAAUUCAGCCACCACACAACCCCCAAGACACCUUUCUCCUAUAAUCCCCAGAAAAACACGUCGUAUUGGCAAACACAAUGAUCCAAACAAGGGAAAACCCUGGUCUUCUCACCUAUCUUCGCGAGGUGAGCAAAUCUUUCGAACUCUUAUUAAUCCAGAUUUCCAGUCUUCUCAGAUUGACGAGAAUUUGCUUAAUUUGGUUGGUUUUCAUGGAAAUCAAUCAGAAUUCUCCUCAAAGUCAUUGUCUUUGGAUGUAUUGGGUUUAGUUCAAGGUUUAGUUCAUUACAAGAAAUUUGAUUUGGCUUUAAAUGUGUUUGAUUGGGUUAAGAAACACUAUAAAGAUUCACGGAAGGCUUUACGUGGUUCUAUUGUGGCUGUGAUUAUAUCCAUGCUUGGUAAAGAUGGUAGGGCUUCAGCUGCAUCUUCUUUGAUACGUGGUCUUCAAAAAGAUGGUUUUGUUAUUGAUGUUUAUGCUUACACUUCAUUGAUAAGUGCUUAUGCUGGUAAUGGGAGGUUUAGAGAGGCCGUGGCGGUUUUUAAGGAAAUGGAAGAAGAAGGUUGUCAACCUACUAAGAUUACAUAUAAUGUGAUUCUUAAUGUGUAUGGGAAAAUGGGUAUGCCUUGGAAUAAAAUUGAAUCUGUCUUUGAGAGUAUGAAGAGUUCAGGGGUUGUCCCUGAUUCUUAUACGUAUAAUACUCUGAUAAGUUGCUGCAAGCGUGGGUCUUUGCAUGAAGAGGCUAAGAGGAUCUUUGAAGAGAUGAAGUUCACAGGGUUUAUGCCCGAUUAUGUUACUUAUAAUACGUUGUUGGAUGUAUAUGUGAAGUCUCGGAAGCCUAAAGAGGCAAUGGAUGUUUUAAAGGAGAUGGAGGGCAAUGGGUUUUCUCCUAGCAUAGUUACUUACAAUUCAUUAAUCUCAUGUUAUGCUAGAGACGGGUUAUUUGAUGAGGCAAUGGAGUUGAAAGCUGAAAUGUUGGCUAAAGGGAUAAAACCAGAUGUUUUUACUUAUACAACCCUGUUUUCGGGAUAUGAGAAAGUGGGGAAAGAUGAGUUUGCUAUGAGGGUUUUUGAAGAGAUGAUAAGUUUAGGCUGCAAACCAAACAUUUGUACCUUUAAUGCUCUAAUUAAGAUGCAUGGUAACCGAGGGAGGUUUGCUGAGAUGAUGAAGGUCGUUGAAGAGAUUAGGGAGUGUGGAUGUGUUCCUGAUAUUGUGACUUGGAAUACGCUUUUGGCCGUGUUUGGCCAAAAUGGAAUGGAUAGUGAAGUUUCUGGAGUCUUUAAGGAGAUGAAAAGGGCUGGUUUUGUUGCCGAGAGAGAUACAUUCAACACUUUGAUUGGUGCUUACAGUAGAUGUGGCUCUUUAGAUCAAGCCAUGACAGUAUAUAGAAGUAUGUUGGAAGCUAAUGUCAGUCCGGACCUUUCUACGUACAAUGCUGUUUUAGCAGCAUUAGCCCGUGGAGGUCUUUGGGAGCAAUCUGAGAAGAUUCUUGAUGAAAUGAAAGACGAGCGUUGUAAACCUAAUGAGUGUACUUAUAGUUCUUUACUUCAUGCUUAUGCAAAUGGUAAGGAAAUUGACAGAAUGUGUGCGUUUGCAGAGAAGAUAUAUUCUGGUGAGAUUGAACCACAUGCUGUCUUGUUAAAGACCCUUGUUUUGGUUAAUAGCAAAAGCGACCUUUUAAAGGAAACAAACCGAGCUUUUCUUGAAAUGAGAGAAAGGGGGUUUUCGCAUGACAUAAAUACUCUCAAUGCCAUGGUUGCAAUCUAUGGAAGGAGGCAGAUGUCAAUGGAGGCCAGUGAGAUAGUGUACUUCAUGAAAGAAAGUGGUUUCUCUCCUAAUUUGACUACAUACAAUUCUCUGAUGUAUAUGCAUAGUCGAUCCUCAGAUUUCCCGAAAUCUGAAGAAAUCUUGAGGGAUCUUAUGGAGAAAGGAAUCAAACCAGAUGUUAUCUCUUACAACACUGUGAUUUAUGCGUAUUGCAGAAAUGGAAAGAUGAAAGAUGCAUCAAGGGUGUUAAGUGAAAUGAGGAAAUCUGGUGUUAAUCCAGAUGUCAUCACAUAUAACACCUUCGUUGCUAGUUAUGCUGCUGAUGAAUUGUUUGAAGAGGCCAUAGAUGUGGUCAGGUACAUGAUUAAACAAGGGUGUAAACCUAAUGAGAGCACAUACAACUCUAUUGUGGAUUGGUAUUGUAAGUUCCAUCGUAGGGAUGAUGCAGUUUUAUUCAUUAAUAAGCUUCGUGAGCUUGAACCACGCAUCUCUAAGGAUGAAAUUAGUAGAUUAUCAGCACGCGUGGCAGAGACUGCAUAAGGAUGUAUUAUAUGCUUGUGUGUCCUGUAUAGAUGCCAAUAGUCUUGCAGCACCCGAAGAACUUAAAAGUUUUAACCCAAAGCAAUACAAAAUAAGAUGGUUCAAGGUCUGGUUCAGACCUCCUAAUCUAUUCCUGCUCAUCUAGCUCUCGGAUUUCUUCUGCUUCUUUCGAUGACGAUCUACUUCCCAGGAGUUAAACCCUAAAUCUUGGACUUCAUUCCUUCGCCCUCUCUAUAUAUCGAGUAUCCUUCUCCGCUGUUUCUCUCUUUCUGAUUCUAGGUAAAGAUGGUGAACUACUUCUCUCUUUGUUCUAAUAAAAGAGAGGGUGUUCUUUUGGGGGAGGUAUGUUUUGACUUGAGUAGUGGGUGAGCAUUUUAUAUAUGUUCUGUGAAGACAUUGUUUGUCCGAGGUGGCUGCUCAGAUUUCUCACAAUUUGGUUUCACGCUUCCCACUCGGAGAGGUUCCAUUGAUAAUGCAUCAUCCAAAUGCCAAUGUAAGUUUCAUUCAAGCUUCAUCAUGUGCCAAUAAACCAAAAAAGGAUUUAUGCUUGGAUGUCAGAAACCAGCAAAAGGUUUUGCUCUGUUAGUCUUCUGUAUGUAGUGAAGGGUACACCCCUGAUGUCAUAUCAACGGGAUAGUUCCGUUACAGCAGGUACCAAGCUUCAUUGGCUUUGAGUUCUUUCUACUCUAAUCAAACUUCAUCCUUAAAACAAACAUGUUAACUUAUGUGGGUUUUCGUAGCUAUUGAAACACAUGUUGGGCUACUUGCAAAAUCUUCAAAAAGACAGUUCUGUGGCACAAAAUGACAUUGUCUGGAAGUUUGAUCGUUUGUUGCCAGUUUGGAGGGGUUUCUCUUUCAGUGUUAAACACUUGAUUGGAAUGGGAACUCUUAGUGGAGUUAAGUCGAUGUUACACCAAAAGUUUCACUAUUUUUGCAAUAUGUUUGGAUUAGGUGAUGUUAAUAUCCAUGUAGGUGAAAUAGUUACUAUAUGUUUACAGAAAACUUGGUGAUUUAUAGUACUCUUUUCUCUUCUCAUUGGAUAUUAUCACAAAAUGGAGUUGUAGCUUGUAGUUUUAUAGUUCAUCAAAUACG